GAGUUUGAUCAUGGCUCAGGAUAAACGCUGGCGGCGUGCUUCAGGCAUGCAAGUCGAACGGACCUUCGGGUCAGUGGCGGACGGGUGAGUAACACGUAAGUAACCUGCCCAGAAGUGGGAAGUAACUAGCCGAAAGGCUGGCUAAUACCGCAUGUGAUGGUUGUUCUCUGGAGCAAAUCAUGAAAGGCGAAAAGUCGCUUCUGGAGGGGCUUGCGGCCGAUUAGCUAGUUGGUGGGGUAAAGGCCUACCAAGGCUUCGAUCGGUAGCUGGUCUGAGAGGACGGACAGCCACACGGGGACUGAGAUACGGCCCGAC
Molecule: ribosomal RNA, 315 nt
Filed under: uncultured Alphaproteobacteria bacterium
Lineage: Bacteria; Pseudomonadati; Pseudomonadota; Alphaproteobacteria
Description: bacterial SSU rRNA
Rfam family: Bacterial small subunit ribosomal RNA
Source: RNAcentral